CCCCUAGAGGAGCCUGUUCUAUAAUCGAUAAUCCACGAUCUACCUCACCAUCUCUUGCCAAUACCGCCUAUAUACCGCCGUCACCAGCCUACCCUAUGAAGGAUAUAAAAGUAGGCAAAAUCGCACAACAGCUAACAAGUCAGGUCAAGGUGUAGCUUACUGAGAUGGAAGAAAUGGGCUACAUUUUCUAAACUAGAAAUCAUUUCACGGAAAGAACUAUGAAACAAGUCCUAAAAGCAGGAUUUAGCAGUAAAUAGGGAUCAGAAUGCCCAAUUUAAGCCGGUCCUAAGGUACGC
Molecule: ribosomal RNA, 296 nt
Filed under: Testudo hermanni boettgeri
Lineage: Eukaryota; Metazoa; Chordata; Testudines; Testudinidae
Description: partial 12S ribosomal RNA
Source: RNAcentral